Long non-coding RNA from Bombus terrestris (buff-tailed bumblebee), 1333 nucleotides. RefSeq lists it as uncharacterized. The transcript has 2 exons. NCBI's taxonomy places the organism in Eukaryota, Metazoa, Arthropoda, Insecta, Hymenoptera, Apidae. The record is from RefSeq and is a predicted model, not a curated record.
ACGACAACGUUCUGAACAUCGCUGGAAUAUGCAUACGAGCGCAUGGACAUAUCGUAAUUGACUCGUCCGACAUUUCUCUGGGCGAAGGUGCCUUGUAACGACCUUUGCGAUGAUGCUCUAAACAACACCGCCAUAGUUUUUCUUCUUCUUCCUAGCGCUCAACCGUAACCUCUUGUUCGCGUUGUUUGUGUUUCUUUGUUUUGACUCGUUGGAUGUUCGGUGGUUACGCCAGGCUAUGACACAUGAUAAGUAGUCUUUAAUUGGAGUCACUGGAUGAUUGUGUUAUACAUGUGGAGGGUAAGAGGAAGAAACAUGGAAUGCCACUAAGUAACGACUUUAUUAUAUUUAGAUAAUCGUGUUUUAAUAUGUUAGUGCACUACUGAGGGACCAAGGUUCAUUGAGUUUAACUGUAUUGUUCAUAGCAUGGACUCUAACAUUACAUGGGAAGUAAUGGUGAAUUAAUAGCAUAUUCUGUGGCACUGAAACUCUAAUUGGGAUGAGAAAGAAGAUUAUUAUUAGAGAAAGAUGUGAUUGUUUUAUAUUGUCCUAAUUUCUUCCUCCAAAUUGAAUAUUAAUACUGGAACGAAAUACAUAGUGCCUGCUUGUAUUGUUAUCGAAAUAAAUAAUAUCCAAUCAUCUUAUCAGUAUCUGGAAAAACGUUCAAGUAGCCAUGAAGCUAAGCGUAAUCAGCAUAGACAUACAACAAGGAGAAAAGCUAAAUGAAAAUUUGACGAUUUGGAAAGUUGAAUGAAAAAGUUGAAAAUUUACAUAGUAUAACCAGAAAGCUAUGAAAAGGAAGAUAAGUUAAAUUCUAAAGACUUCAUUAUAGAAAAAACACCGACCAAUAACACAAAUGCAGUUAAAUAAUAAGUAGGAAAAUACAUUGUACUGUAGCAUAUUGGUAUCAUAGUUAAAUCAUGUACAUAUAUAUUAUAUUAAAACUAAGACAAAAGAAUUAAACUACAUGUACAUCUAAUAAUAGUGGGCUGUAAAGAUAGAAUAACUAUUCCUAGGAUUAGGAAGAGUGUACAUGUAACAAGUAAAUCACUAUGCUAAGCCAAAGAACCUCCUUGUGAUAGACAUACAGUCUGACUAAAUGAAGUAUUCUUACAUUAUUAUAUUAAUGUUUACAAGCGGUGAAAAUAGGAAGAAUGGAGACAUUUCUUGUCCUAUUCCAUAAAGAAGAUCAGCCAUUCCCUGUUUUUACUCCAAAGUUUUUACGCUCAUUACACAUUUUAUUUAUAAUUUUUCAUUAUUCAACAGUUUUAUAACAUCAAAGUGCCACUAAUAGAAUGUAUUAUAACAUAAAAUAAAAAUAAUGCAAUAAAAUGUA